UCACUGCAUCUGUUGGAGGUUUUCUAUGUUUGUCCAUCUAAAAUCAUUCACUGAUCCUUCACAACUGAUUCAUUUAGAAAUGUUUCCUUCAUUUCAAAAGUUCAAAUUGAACACAUCUGUUUUGAAUUUUUUCUUUCCAAACAUCUAAAAACCUUUUUAGAAGUAAAACCUGUUUGCUAAACCCAUUCUCACUCCCAGGUCAUCACAUAUUGAUGCUUUUCCAGUGUUUCUUUAUUUGUGUAUGCAAAUAUGUUUUAAUCAACUAUUAUUUGACAAGGUGAUAUGUUUUUCUGUUUUAUUUUUCAAUUUAACCAAAACAAUAACUAUUAUCUAGUUCACUAUGUUUUACUAUGAAAUAUAUAUGGUCAUUUGUGCUUAAGUUUAAACAAAAUAUCUUAAGUUUUAUGUUGGUUCACUAAAGCUUAGUUCAUACUUCAUUUAGUUCACUUGUCAAGGUUCUAACUUGUUCUGCAGAUGCUGUUUUUACAGACCCAAGGCAGUGUACUAGACGACUGAAAUCUCUUAGACUAAACCUUUCUAAGUCAAUCUGUUACUAACAAAYUCCGAGGUCAUGUCUGCUAGAACUCUCUCUUGUAGUUACUAACAACGGACGCGCCUCUCUCCCGUCAGACACCAUUUUUGUUCCAAAUGAAAAGGAGCUGGUUUUUCCUCCUCAGGGAAGCCAGCGUUCGGUGAUGAGAUCCCGGCUCAUUUUGCCAAAGAGUCGAUCUUAUCCCAGGUUCACAACACCACCAGUCGUGAACCAAACUAACAGCUUUACGACUCCAAGGAGUUUUGUUUCAAAACUUCUGUGAGAAGUUUUUGUUUUUGAGCUGAGAAACCAGUCGGCAGUGACUCUCCGUUCGAACGAGCUGAAGGACCACUAGAUGCUGAGAUAAUCAAACCCCUUGAAGUCUGACUGCUUGGACAGUUAAGUGUUUCUGAACUGACCUCUUGCUGACCCGGGUGAGACCUCGUCCAUGCCUAACCUGAAUUUGAAGUCUUCAAAGGACAAACACACACAGGUUCUGAGGUCCUCCAGGGAUACAGGAAUACCCUCCUUCUCCAGGCCCUCAGAAGCUCGCUCUGUGGGAGAAAAAGAGGUUUGAGAGUAUGUAGUUUACUUCUACAAUCUCAAGGUGGUGAAUCCAGUCAGACAAAUAGUGUGGACAAUUCCGCCUAGCUGUACUAUCAGCUUCUCCAAGAUC
Molecule: long non-coding RNA, 1208 nt
Organism: Austrofundulus limnaeus
Lineage: Eukaryota; Metazoa; Chordata; Actinopteri; Cyprinodontiformes; Rivulidae
Exons: 3
Source: RefSeq, a predicted model, not a curated record